Molecule: long non-coding RNA, 522 nt
Filed under: Helianthus annuus (common sunflower)
Lineage: Eukaryota; Viridiplantae; Streptophyta; Magnoliopsida; Asterales; Asteraceae
Description: sRNA HanXRQr2_Chr07g0312241
Source: RNAcentral
GUAAUUAACUCUUAAAAUUUAGAAUUCCACAGUUUAUACUUGACAAUUAAGAAUAUGUCACUCGGUCCCUUACCUGCAUACGGGUCACAACUACCCAUAUAGGAUUUGUCAGCAGCACAUUGACACACCUAAAAAACAAGUCAAGACAACUGCUUACAAUCACAUACAACUAUACAGAUCAAUAUCUCACCAGUUGUAUAGAUUAAUCAUCCAAGAAAAUAUGGAUGGAAAAAAAUAACAGAAUACAUGAGGAAUUUUUGUUCAAGGUAAUAUCUUUUUGAGUUAACUGCCAUUUUCGUCCCUGUGGUUUGUCCAAUUAUGCCAGUCCAGACCAAAUUUGUACCAUUUCCUUCCCUGACAGUCCUGAAACAUGGUUUAAAAGGGAUUAUAAGAGAAUAAAAAAGGAAAAUCACGAUUGUACCCUUCAUUGAACGGUAGGUUUUAACAAACGUCAAGUUUUUUUGGACGGAACUGGCAUUUUUCAAGAAUGUCAGAGAAGGAAAUGUACAAAUUUGAAAUUUG